CGCACGCCCGGGACUCUUGUUCCUCUUUCACUUGUCUUCCCAGGGAACACAGGAGAAUGGAAGAUGUUGAUACAAUACCUAAACACAAGCUUUGAUUUCCUCGGCUGUCCAAUGGAUUGAACAGCGCCUGCCCUUCCUAUCCUUUCCGUGUCACAGGGCUGUUUAGGGAUCGACUGAAACAAGGAGGGUGCGAGCCUACAGAUGCCUCUUCGCGUAGCUACCUGGAGGCUCCAGAUCAAGGUCAACAUGGACAGUGAUAUAUCAUGUUGGAUGGAGUAAAUGAAUAAAUAUUUUGAGAAUGUGGGGAACCAGGUUUCUUGCUUUCGGAGAAGACAUACAAAUAUGGAGGAGAUGCUGGGGUCAAGUGGCUGGAGCUCUAGAAAUCAUACUAUAAGCACGGGAUGAAGAUUCACCCUAGGGAUUGUGGAAUGGCAAGCUGCCCAGACCUUGGAUCCCCAAAAAGCUCAUGGCACUGCCACAUCAACCCUACACUGCCCACUUCUGAACACCUUAUUAGAGGAAAGGAAAAGAAAGUUCUGUGUUGCUUAAAUCAAUUUUCAGAUCAGCCAAGUACAGUUUCUGACUGAUACAAACACACAGCGUGCCCUUGGCAAAGUAACUUCUUUAGCCCCUUCAUGUCUCAGUUUCUUACUCUUUGAAGUUGAGUAAGAGUACUAACCAGUUUUAAAGAACACAUAAUACAGUGAUUUUAAUAUUCUGUUUACUAAAGCCCUAGAAAAUUUUUGGAGGUAGUCCAAAGGAGGAAGGGGGUAAAUACAUGGGUAUCUGAAUGCCCAAUAUUCAAUCAGAACAGUUCCUCUUCUAUUUGAUUUUUAUUUUGGGUUUCCAAGUAAGAUUUCAUUUGGAGGGGGUGAAAAAAGAAUUUAAAGGCCAAAAGAAUUUGAAAAUCACUGGCAGGGAAAAAUGUUUAGUCCUUUGUAUGUGAGAAGGACACUUGGGGCGUACCACUAAUCCUGAGAUGAUACUUUUCUAACAUCGCCAAUGGAUCUAAUGAUGCCAGUUCGAUGCUUCUUGAGACCAAUAUCUCACACCUGUAGACCAGCCUAAGGGAGCAGCCUGGGGCCACGGAGCGGUGCAAAGUGCCCUGACCCAUGCAGGAAUAAAAUCAGUCACCCCCACUACCUCCAAGCUGCACUCUAACCCUCUGAAGGAUAACAAGCCAGAGAGCCAUGCACAGCUGCAAUCUGAGGUGUUACAUAGAGACUGGAGGAAUCUAGGGAGCUGUGUCCAGAAGGAAGGCAUUUUGUCCAUCACUGGCUCUUGUUACCUCCCAUAGCCCUGACCUCUCUAACCCAUCAGACUUAGCGUAAUUCUUUAUUCAAGGGUUCAGUAGUCUUCCAUAUAGGAAAAAGUUCCCAACUGAGAUUUUGGGAAGGCAAAAGGGAACAGGAAUGGGAACAGGACCGGGACGGGACAGGAAGGGAAGGGAAGGGAAGGGAGGCAGUCCUGGGCCUUUCACACAACUUUGACUUCUAAUCAUGCUAUCUCUUAGCAGAACAUCUCACCUGGGCCUUGGAGAAAGAGCUAAACUUACAAAGAUCUUGGGAUCUUGGAAAUCAGCAUCUGUCUGUCAAAUCCCCAAAAAUGAUACACACCAGGCUCAUUGGUUAUAGAAGUCUCCUCUGCACACUCUGCCACCUCAAAUAAUAAGCAGCAGCAGAGGGCUGAGGACUGGCAUCUGCUCCACCAGAGUCCCUGAAGGAAUCCCACCCCUGACUCCAAAUUCUCCUUCCCAACUGCCUUGCUUUCAACUUUGACUUGCCAAUCAAGCCACGGCUUGUCCUACUCAAGUCCUUGGCUUUGUUUCUCUGAACAUGAUCAUUGCCCGUCUGUUUUUCUUUGUUGGGGGUCAUGUCCCAAUGCUGAGCCCCCAGCCUCAUGAGCUCUGUCCUUAAUUACCUCUUGCUAACUCUGCACACUAUCUCCAGGCUACAUAUGUGCCCAUUCAGAGCACUCCAAACUGCCAAAAUCUAGACUCUUCUGUCUGCCUUUCUUUCUUUCUCAUCUUCUCAAACAUCUCUACACAAGCACACUUCAUUCAAAUAGGUCAUUCAAAUAGCAGCUAUCCUAUUGCAUUGCAUCUUACCUCUUUCUUUUCCACCCCAACUCCACCUUUGCAAAUACAUCCUUCUGGGUAGGUUUUUGAAUGAUGAUGAGGGCAAUAAGAGGAAGGAUGACAUCAAAAUUUAAUAGAUAGAAUUUGCAGGGUAAUUAAGAAGAGUAGAUGGAAGGUCUGCUUCCUAUCAGAUUCAGUGAGGCAGAUGGGAGUGCUAAAUUUUGUCUCUUCGCCCUCUGCAUGUAUUUCUGCCUCUUUUCUAUACUCCUCUCUGGAUCACAGGGGUUGGAAGACUUAAAACCAUAUCUUCCUGACUCCUUUUCUGCUAGGAUUUUAGAUAUGAUUUACCUUCUGCCAUUAAAAUGUCCUAACGUGCUAUCUGGCGUACAGAAGGGAAGCGGAGGUCAUUCUUUCUGGGACAGCAGUGACUGAUGAACAUGCUCCCACAAACACAAGCUUUCACAGUAGCCAGACUUCAUGUUACACUCUCCAAUGACCAGCCUCAAGGGUAAUGGGCAGGUGUCCCUACCGGCAGCGAUUUCCUGACCUCUGGGUAAUAGUAGAGAGUAGAUGGAAGAGAAAAAGAAGUCUUACUGGAUUCAGUAAAGUGGAUCAAGCCACAUGCCUUUGGCUCCAGCUACUUAACCUCUCUUCUCCCCCCACCCCCAUUACAGGGUCAAAUAACUGAGACACUAUUUCUUAUAAAUGAACUUUAAAAUAAGUAGUAUUGGAAUAACUGAUAGCCACAGAUACAAGUCUGGUUUAAUGUUCAAAAAUCAAUCCAUAUAGUCACCCACAUUAAUAAAGAGAAAAAAUCCCUUGUGAUUGUAUCAAUUGAUGCAGAAUGAACAUCUGAUAAAAAUUCAACACCUAUUCAUGAUUUUAAAAACUCUCAGAAAACUAGGAAUAGCAGGAAACUGACUCAAUUUGAUAAAGAACAUCAAUGAAAAAUCCCAUAGCUAAUAAAUUGUAAAAGACUGAAUGUUUUUCCCCUAAGAUCGUGCACAAGGUGGGGCGCCUGGGUGGCUUAGUCUGUUAAGCAUCUGCCUUCGGCUCAGGUCAUGAUCCCAGGGUCUUGGGAUCAAGCCCAGCAUGGAGCCUGCUUCUCUCUUUCCCUCUGCCAUUCCCCCCUCUUGUGUUCUCUGUCUCUCUCUCUCUCUUUCGAAUAAAUAAAUAAAAUAAAAUAAAAUAAAACAAAAUAAAAUAAAAGAUCAGGUACAAGGUAAAGAGGUCUGCAAAGUUAUCUGCUCUCAUCACUGCUAUUCCUGUGAUCUAGCCAGCUCAAUAAGGCAAGAAAAGAAAAUAGAGGCAUACAGAUAAGAAAGUAAGAACUAAAAAUGUCCCUCUUUGCAGAUGCCACCAUGGUCUACAUAGAAAUCCCAAGGAAUCUGAAAAAAACAUUCUGCAAACUAGUAGGUUCAACUACAUCACAGAUACAAGAUCAACAUACAAAAAUCAAUUGUAACAAUAGAAAAAUGAAUUACAUUUCUAUAUUCUUACAGUGACUUUGUGGACACAAAUUAAAAAUACAAUACCAUUUAUAACCAUUUAUACACCAUUUAUCAAAUAAUACCAUUUAUCAAAAAAAUAUAGCAAUGGAGUGACUGCUAUUCACAGGUCUCUCAGCUGCUAGAGAGCCCCAUUCUGAGAUAAGACACCUCUCCACCCUGACUCUAGUAAAGAGGUCAGGAAACCUUGAGUAAGAGUAGAGGUACUAAUUUCGGGCAGUUAAUUACAUUUUUUCAGCAUCCAUCUCCCUGAAGUUUUCACUGGGCAAAUCCUUCAGGAGGACAUCCCCAUUAGCUAUUCAUUUUUCUUUUGCACUGACUGGAGAAUGAAGCGACUGUUGGCUGUGUCACACAACUCGUUGAAAUUCACCCCUGGGUGAAGUGAUCCUCAAAUAAUUACCAAAUGUAGUUCAGGUAACUGAAUUAGUGAAUUACAUUGGCUCCUUUGAGAUGAAAGACUCUUUAGGAAUGUGAAAUACUUUGGUUCUUUGUUAUUAAUAACUUGAACAAUGGAAGAACCCAAAGUAGUAUUCAAUAUGCUCCAGGAAUGGGAUGACUAAAAUUAAAGAAUGCAAUUGACUUUCAUUUUCCAUACUUUUCAUUUCAAUAGUCAGGACUGAAUGUGACAAGUCAUCAAAUCCCCUCUGAGGUUAAUAAGGCAUCAACUACAGAACUCUGGGAAGAGAAAAAUUCAGCCAAAGUGUGGCAAGUAGGCCAUGAACCUAAAACCUAAUUGACAGAGGGAUGGGUGUUCUCUUCAAGUUGCACAUCUAUCCCACCAGAGGAAUUGCUGCGUGUCUGCUACUGUUCCAAAGUCCCCAGUUAUUGAUCCUGAUAUUGCACAGUUUUCCAAUAAAUCUUAAUCACACAGACACAAAUCAGCAGAAGUACUGAGAGUCUUCCUGAAUAUUCACCGGGUGAGAGAUGCAGGUGGCAUCUUUGACUAGAAACGCCUGCAGGCAAUUGCAUACCGCAUUGGGAAGGGGAAGAGAUUUCCACCGGGAGAGCUUAUCAUUCCUUAAAUAUUUAUGUUUCGUUUCUCGGUUAUAAAAUUACGGCAUCCCUCUCAAGAAUUCCACCAAAUAUGUCUAUUGUCUGAGGGGAUUGUUUUUUGUUUUUUGUUUUUUGUUUUUUAUUUACUGCAGCUUUCAAGAUAGUACAUACAUGACUUUCAAAAACUCACUUUGAAAAUUGAGGGGAUUCUCUUUUAUCUCAAGAGACGGUGCAGGCUCACUGAUUUCUGUAAUGUUUCCCUUUUUCAUAACGGCACAGAGACAUCACUCUGCACACUGUCAACACUCUUUUGGGAAGCACAGCUUAUAACAAUAGAGAACUCAAUAUUGAACAAACCUUGCAACUGUCGCUUAUAACCCUUUUCCUUCUGUUACUUGCAGCAAAAUCUUAAGAUUUCUGAGUCAGAUAAAUGUAUCUGAAGAGACCGUCACAAUUUACUUAGCUUUACUUUAGCUAUAAGCAAAAUGGGGAGAAACAUCUACUCCUACCCCACAAUGAAGAAAAAAUGGAUAGCUGGGCUCCCCUGGGGGAAGCAGUGUUCUACAGAGCAUAGGAUAAAUGCUGGUGGAGAUGGAAGAUAAAGUCCUCCUUCCCAAUAAUCUACAAUCCGGGAGCCCAAGACGGGCCAAGUCUUUAACAAAAGCCCAGAGACAACUCUAGUCACUUACACCUGAGGGUAAGACCGCCAUUUUCCUUUCCUAAUAUCCCAAGGUGCCUAGCACAUUUCUAUGACCAAUAGAUGUGAUUGGCUAACUAAAUGAAAGAUAACAGUCAGCUUGAUUAGUGUCUUCUCUCUGGUUGACAUAUGUCCAAUGCUUCGUCCGUCAAAAACUGAAAUGAAAAGAUUGAUAAUUCUUACUCUGAAUUAUAAAAUGUCCAAAAAUCCAAAAGAAAAGUGUUUUAACUCAUUUUGUUAUCACAUCUCAAUUUUAUACCAUGCAGCAACUUUCUAGGAUACAGAGUAGAAUGAUAGAAACUUGUGAACAUCUCCUGAAGCCCAAGAGAUUAUCUUACUUUUUGGAGUUCCUUUGGCAAACUUCUGUUUGACACACAUCAAAACAUCAUCAAUAUGUUUUAAUGUGAUUUUCCAAUUUGCAGAGAGGAUGGUGUGUGUUCUAGGCUGACUUCAAUGGUCAGAGAACGUCUUUGCUGAAUAAAAACCAAUCGGAAAGACUUUCAACGUGUGCUAUAGUGUAUCUCUGCCUGAUUUCUUCGUAAUGUUACUUGGACAGUUAACUUGCUUAAAGUAAGUUAGUAUAAAUUAUAUCAUCCUUCCUGUAAAAAAAUUUUUUCACCAACAAAAUGGACUGCUAGAUUUCAAGGAAAGAGGUAAGAGCUGAUUAGCUUCUUUCACAAGUGUAUCUUCAAUAAGUAUCUCUCUGUGAUCACCAAGACAGUGGU
This is a long non-coding RNA of Mirounga angustirostris (Northern elephant seal), 6000 nucleotides long. RefSeq lists it as uncharacterized. NCBI's taxonomy places the organism in Eukaryota, Metazoa, Chordata, Mammalia, Carnivora, Phocidae. The record is from RefSeq and is a predicted model, not a curated record. The transcript has 6 exons.